This 429-nucleotide ribosomal RNA is filed under the name Chloroflexota bacterium. RNAcentral describes it as "Chloroflexi bacterium partial 16S ribosomal RNA". It matches the Rfam family "Bacterial small subunit ribosomal RNA", at positions 355 to 776 of the family's 1533-position model. Lineage: Bacteria; Bacillati; Chloroflexota. The record is from RNAcentral.
UGGGGAAUAUUGCACAAUGGGCGCAAGCCUGAUGCAGCCAUGCCGCGUGUAUGAAGAAGGCCUUCGGGUUGUAAAGUACUUUCAGUCGGGAGGAAGGUGUCAAGGUUAAUAACCUUGGCAAUUGACGUUACCGACAGAAGAAGCACCGGCUAACUCCGUGCCAGCAGCCGCGGUAAUACGGAGGGUGCAAGCGUUAAUCGGAAUUACUGGGCGUAAAGCGCACGCAGGCGGUUGAUUGAGUCAGAUGUGAAAUCCCCGGGCUUAACCCGGGAAUUGCAUCUGAUACUGGUCAGCUAGAGUCUUGUAGAGGGGGGUAGAAUUCCAUGUGUAGCGGGGAAAUGCGUAGAGAUGUGGAGGAAUACCGGUGGCGAAGGCGGCCCCCUGGACAAAGACUGACGCUCAGGUGCGAAAGCGUGGGGAGCAAACAGG